UAAAAAUUAAUAAUUUAUUUUUUUUAUCCCGAAUCUAAAAGAGUUAAUAAUUUAUAAAUUUUAUUGUAAAAUAAAUAUUUAUAAUAAAUUUUUUGUAAUGAAAUGUUAGUCGUUUUUUGAUAUAUCUGGUUUUUUGAGAAAUAAAUUUAAUUUAUUAUUAAAAUUUAGAUCUUAUAUUUUUUUAUAAGUUUUAAUUUUUAUUUUAAACUAAUUAUGGGAUAAGCUUUAAUUAGAAUUUAUAUAAUUAUUUUUAAAAAAGUAAAUUAGUAGGAUUAGUAAUUUUUAUUUUAGUAGUUUUGUUAUAAUAAAUUUAUUUUUGGUUAUAAUUUUUAUGGUUUUUAUAUUUUUUAUCAAAAUUUUUUAAGAAAUUAGGUUUUAAAUAAAAAUGAUGAUUAAAUUAGUAUAUUUUUAUGUAAUGUUUAUUGUAAUAAUAAAGUUUUAAUAAAGGAAUUCAGCAAAUGAUUUUUUGCCUGUUUAUUAAAAACAUGGUUUUUAGAUUAUAAUUUAAGAUUUAACCUGCCCAAUGAAUAUUAAAUGGCCGCGGUAUUUUGACCGUGCAAAGGUAGCAUAAUAAUUAGUUCCUUAAUUAGGAGCUGGAAUGAAUGGUUGGACAAGAAAGUAGCUGUCUCUAUUAAAAUUAUAGAAUUUUAUUUUUAAGUUAAAGAGCUUAAAUGUUAUUAAAAGACGAGAAGACCCUAUAGAGUUUUAUUUUUUUAAAAAAAAAAUUAUUUUUGUAUUAGUAAUUUUAUUAUUUUUGAAUUAAUUUUGUUGGGGUGAUAGAAAAAUUUAGAUAACUUUUUUUAAAAAAAAUCAUUAAUUUAUGAUUAUUUGAUCCAUUUUUAUGAUUAUAAGAACAAAUUACCUUAGGGAUAACAGCGUUAUCAAAAUUGAGAGUUCUUAUCAAAAUUUUGGAUUGCGACCUCGAUGUUGGAUUAAAAUUUAUAUUAGGUGAAGAAGCUUAAUUAUUAGGUCUGUUCGACCUUUAAAAUUUU
RNAcentral lists this ribosomal RNA (992 nucleotides) under Aesalus imanishii. Its description in RNAcentral is "partial 16S ribosomal RNA". Lineage: Eukaryota; Metazoa; Arthropoda; Insecta; Coleoptera; Lucanidae. The record is from RNAcentral.